This 641-nucleotide ribosomal RNA is filed under the name uncultured Pseudomonas sp. Its description in RNAcentral is "bacterial SSU rRNA". It matches the Rfam family "Bacterial small subunit ribosomal RNA", at positions 8 to 644 of the family's 1533-position model. The record is from RNAcentral. Lineage: Bacteria; Pseudomonadati; Pseudomonadota; Gammaproteobacteria; Pseudomonadales; Pseudomonadaceae.
AGAGUUUGAUCCUGGCUCAGAUUGAACGCUGGCGGCAGGCCUAACACAUGCAAGUCGAGCGGUAGAGAGAAGCUUGCUUCUCUUGAGAGCGGCGGACGGGUGAGUAAUGCCUAGGAAUCUGCCUGGUAGUGGGGGAUAACGUUCGGAAACGGACGCUAAUACCGCAUACGUCCUACGGGAGAAAGCAGGGGACCUUCGGGCCUUGCGCUAUCAGAUGAGCCUAGGUCGGAUUAGCUAGUUGGUGAGGUAAUGGCUCACCAAGGCGACGAUCCGUAACUGGUCUGAGAGGAUGAUCAGUCACACUGGAACUGAGACACGGUCCAGACUCCUACGGGAGGCAGCAGUGGGGAAUAUUGGACAAUGGGCGAAAGCCUGAUCCAGCCAUGCCGCGUGUGUGAAGAAGGUCUUCGGAUUGUAAAGCACUUUAAGUUGGGAGGAAGGGUUGUAGAUUAAUACUCUGCAAUUUUGACGUUACCGACAGAAUAAGCACCGGCUAACUCUGUGCCAGCAGCCGCGGUAAUACAGAGGGUGCAAGCGUUAAUCGGAAUUACUGGGCGUAAAGCGCGCGUAGGUGGUUUGUUAAGUUGGAUGUGAAAUCCCCGGGCUCAACCUGGGAACUGCAUUCAAAACUGACUGACUAG